UUAAGUUCAGCGGGUAUUCCUACCUGAUCCGAGGUCAACCUUGUGUAAGUCCACGGGGCCUGAGGCACCCGCGGGGGGUUUUUACGGCCGGUCGCCCGCCGUGACGCCCUAAGCGAGAAGCAAGUACUGCGCUCGGGGUCUCGUCGGGCCCGCCACUGUAUUUCGGGGCCUGCAGCAAGCGCUACAGAGUGACCCCAACA
This 200-nucleotide unclassified non-coding RNA is filed under the name Junewangia sp. RNAcentral's name for it is "partial internal transcribed spacer 2". Lineage: Eukaryota; Fungi; Ascomycota; Sordariomycetes; Junewangiaceae. The record is from RNAcentral.